AUCAGGAAUUUUUGGUGGGGAGAUGAGGAAGAUCCAAGAAAAACACAUUGGUUAGCUUGGGACAAAUUAACAACGUCUAAAGGUAAGGGAGCUAUGGGAUUCCGGGAUCUCAGAUUAUUUAACCAGGCCCUCUUAGCCAAACAAGCAUGGAGGUUAUUGGUUCAUCCGGAUUCAUUGUGUGCUAAGCUGAUGAAGGCAAAGUAUUACCCACAUGGGCAUAUUCUUGAUACAGUGUUUCCUCAGUCUGCAUCAGUGACUUGGCAAGGUAUUAUGCAUGGUCUGGAUUUGCUUAAGAAUGGUGUCAUUUGGCGGGUGGGUGAUGGAUCUAGCAUUAAUAUUUGGAUGGAUAACUGGUUACCCAGGAGCACUGGACUUAAGAUUUCAGCUAAAAGGCAUAAUACUAGAUUGAAGUGGGUAUCUGAUUUGUUCUUGAGUGGGAGAAAGGCAUGGGAUGAAAAUUUGAUCAAGUAUCUUUUCUAUCCCCAUGAUGCAGAGGAGGUUCUCAAGAUUCGUAUUCAUGCUUAUGGGGAUGGGGAUUUUAUUGCGUGGCACUAUGAGAAUAACGGUAUAUUUUCCGUUAAAAGUGCGUACAAAUUUAGCACUUAA
Molecule: ribosomal RNA, 606 nt
Filed under: Triticum aestivum (bread wheat)
Lineage: Eukaryota; Viridiplantae; Streptophyta; Magnoliopsida; Poales; Poaceae
Description: partial small subunit ribosomal RNA
Source: RNAcentral